This 1508-nucleotide ribosomal RNA is filed under the name Lacticaseibacillus paracasei. RNAcentral describes it as "bacterial SSU rRNA". It matches the Rfam family "Bacterial small subunit ribosomal RNA". Lineage: Bacteria; Bacillati; Bacillota; Bacilli; Lactobacillales; Lactobacillaceae. The record is from RNAcentral.
UUUGAUCCUGGCUCAGGAUGAACGCUGGCGGCGUGCCUAAUACAUGCAAGUCGAACGAGUUCUCGUUGAUGAUCGGUGCUUGCACCGAGGUUCAACAUGGAACGAGUGGCGGACGGGUGAGUAACACGUGGGUAACCUGCCCUUAAGUGGGGGAUAACAUUUGGAAACAGAUGCUAAUACCGCAUAGAUCCAAGAACCGCAUGGUUCUUGGCUGAAAGAUGGCGUAAGCUAUCGCUUUUGGAUGGACCCGCGGCGUAUUAGCUAGUUGGUGAGGUAAUGGCUCACCAAGGCGAUGAUACGUAGCCGAACUGAGAGGUUGAUCGGCCACAUUGGGACUGAGACACGGCCCAAACUCCUACGGGAGGCAGCAGUAGGGAAUCUUCCACAAUGGACGCAAGUCUGAUGGAGCAACGCCGCGUGAGUGAAGAAGGCUUUCGGGUCGUAAAACUCUGUUGUUGGAGAAGAAUGGUCGGCAGAGUAACUGUUGUCGGCGUGACGGUAUCCAACCAGAAAGCCACGGCUAACUACGUGCCAGCAGCCGCGGUAAUACGUAGGUGGCAAGCGUUAUCCGGAUUUAUUGGGCGUAAAGCGAGCGCAGGCGGUUUUUUAAGUCUGAUGUGAAAGCCCUCGGCUUAACCGAGGAAGCGCAUCGGAAACUGGGAAACUUGAGUGCAGAAGAGGACAGUGGAACUCCAUGUGUAGCGGUGAAAUGCGUAGAUAUAUGGAAGAACACCAGUGGCGAAGGCGGCUGUCUGGUCUGUAACUGACGCUGAGGCUCGAAAGCAUGGGUAGCGAACAGGAUUAGAUACCCUGGUAGUCCAUGCCGUAAACGAUGAAUGCUAGGUGUUGGAGGGUUUCCGCCCUUCAGUGCCGCAGCUAACGCAUUAAGCAUUCCGCCUGGGGAGUACGACCGCAAGGUUGAAACUCAAAGGAAUUGACGGGGGCCCGCACAAGCGGUGGAGCAUGUGGUUUAAUUCGAAGCAACGCGGAGAACCUUACCAGGUCUUGACAUCUUUUGAUCACCUGAGAGAUCAGGCUUCCCCUUCGGGGGCAAAAUGACAGGUGGUGCAUGGUUGUCGUCAGCUCGUGUCGUGAGAUGUUGGGUUAAGUCCCGCAACGAGCGCAACCCUUAUGACUAGUUGCCAGCAUUUAGUUGGGCACUCUAGUAAGACUGCCGGUGACAAACCGGAGGAAGGUGGGGAUGACGUCAAAUCAUCAUGCCCCUUAUGACCUGGGCUACACACGUGCUACAAUGGAUGGUACAACGAGUUGCGAGACCGCGAGGUCAAGCUAAUCUCUUAAAGCCAUUCUCAGUUCGGACUGUAGGCUGCAACUCGCCUACACGAAGUCGGAAUCGCUAGUAAUCGCGGAUCAGCACGCCGCGGUGAAUACGUUCCCGGGCCUUGUACACACCGCCCGUCACACCAUGAGAGUUUGUAACACCCGAAGCCGGUGGCGUAACCCUUUUAGGGGGCGAGCCGUCUAAGGUGGGACAAAUGAUUAGGGUG